Molecule: transfer RNA, 73 nt
Filed under: Mus musculus (house mouse)
Lineage: Eukaryota; Metazoa; Chordata; Mammalia; Rodentia; Muridae
Description: tRNA-Thr
Source: RNAcentral
GGGACUGUAGCUCAGUUGGUAGAAUGCUUGCCUAGUGUGUAUAAAGUUCCCGGUUCGAUCCCCAGCACUGCAU